This 72-nucleotide transfer RNA is filed under the name Usnea ceratina. RNAcentral describes it as "tRNA-Val". It matches the Rfam family "tRNA". Rfam says of the family: Transfer RNA (tRNA) molecules are approximately 80 nucleotides in length. The record is from RNAcentral. Lineage: Eukaryota; Fungi; Ascomycota; Lecanoromycetes; Lecanorales; Parmeliaceae.
GGGAAUUAGCUCAAUGGUAGAGCAACCGUUUUACACACGGAAGGUCAGGUGUUCAAAUCCCCUAUUCCUUAC